GAUGAAGAACGCAGCGAAAUGCGAUAAGUAAUGUGAAUUGCAGAAUUCAGUGAGUCAUCGAAUCUUUGAACGCACAUUGCGCCCUGUGGUAUUCCGCAGGGCAUGCCUGUUCGAGCGUCAUUUCAACCCUCAAGCUCUGCUUGGUGUUGGGCCCUGCCCGCUGCGGCCGGCCCUAAAGACAGUGGCGGUGCCGCCUGGCCCUGAGCGUAGUACAUCUCUCGCUCCAGUGCCCGGUGGUAGCCUGCCAGAACCCCAACUCUCGUGGUUGACCUCGGAUCAGGUAGGGAUACCCGCUGAACUUAAGCAUAUCAAUAGCGGAGGA
Molecule: unclassified non-coding RNA, 322 nt
Filed under: soil metagenome
Description: partial contains 5.8S ribosomal RNA, internal transcribed spacer 2, and large subunit ribosomal RNA
Rfam family: 5.8S ribosomal RNA (bases 1-120)
Source: RNAcentral